AUUGAACGCUGGCGGCAGGCCUAACACAUGCAAGUCGAGCGGAAACGAAGGGAGCUUGCUCCCAGGCGUCGAGCGGCGGACGGGUGAGUAACACGUGAGAAUCUGCCCAUUAGUGGGGGACAACUCGGGGAAACUCGAGCUAAUACCGCAUAAUCCCUACGGGGGAAAGCAGGGGACCUUUUGGCCUUGCGUUGAUGGAUGAGCUCACGUCGGAUUAGCUUGUUGGUGAGGUAAAGGCUCACCAAGGGGACGAUCCGUAGCUGGUCUGAGAGGAUGCUCAGCCACACUGGGACUCGAACACGGCCCAGACUCGAACGGGAGGCAGAAGUGGGGAAUCUUGAACAAUGGGGGAAACCCUGAUCCAGCCAUGCCGCGGGUGUGAAGAAGGCGUUCGGGUUGUAAAGCACUUUCAGCAGGGAGGAAGGCUUUGGCCGAAUAGGUUGAAGUACUUGACGUUGCCUGCAGAAGAAGCACCGGCUAAUUUCGUGCCAGCAGCCGCGGUAA
This 504-nucleotide ribosomal RNA is filed under the name uncultured bacterium. RNAcentral's name for it is "partial 16S ribosomal RNA". It matches the Rfam family "Bacterial small subunit ribosomal RNA", at positions 29 to 523 of the family's 1533-position model. The record is from RNAcentral.